CACCUACGGGUGGCAGCAGUGGGGAAUAUUGGACAAUGGGGGCAACCCUGAUCCAGCAAUGCCGCGUGUGUGAAGAAGGCCUUCGGGUUGUAAAGCACUUUUAUCCGGAACGAAACGUGCGGGGUGAAUAGCCUCGUAAACUGACGGUACCGGAGGAAUAAGCACCGGCUAACUUCGUGCCAGCAGCCGCGGUAAUACGAAGGGUGCAAGCGUUACUCGGAAUUACUGGGCGUAAAGGGUGCGUAGGUGGUUUUUAAGUCUGCUGUGAAAUCCCCGGGCUCAACCUGGGAAUGGCAGUGGAUACUGGAAAGCUGGAGUGCGGUAGAGGGUAGUGGAAUUCCCGGUGUAGCAGUGAAAUGCGUAGAGAUCGGGAGGAACACCAGUGGCGAAGGCGGCUACCUGGACCAGCACUGACACUGAGGCACGAAAGCGUGGGGAGCAAACAGGAUUAGAUACCCUGGUAGUCCACGCCCUAAACGAUGCGAACUGGAUGUUGGGUGCAACUUGGCACUCAGUAUCGAAGCUAACGCGUUA
Molecule: ribosomal RNA, 534 nt
Filed under: uncultured bacterium
Lineage: Bacteria
Description: bacterial SSU rRNA
Rfam family: Bacterial small subunit ribosomal RNA
Source: RNAcentral